RNAcentral lists this ribosomal RNA (250 nucleotides) under uncultured prokaryote. Its description in RNAcentral is "partial 16S ribosomal RNA". It matches the Rfam family "Bacterial small subunit ribosomal RNA", at positions 524 to 773 of the family's 1533-position model. The record is from RNAcentral.
UACGUAGGUGGCGAGCGUUGUUCGGAUUUAUUGGGCGUAAAGGGUCUGUAGGAGGUUUCUUAAAUACGGGGUGAAAUCCGGGAGCUCAACUCCCGAACUGCCCUGUAGACUGGGAAACUAGAGUAUUGGAGAGGUAAGCGGAAUACCAAGUGUAGCGGUGGAAUGCGUAGAUAUUUGGUAGAACACCAAGAGCGAAGGCAGCUUACUGGACAAAGACUGACUCUGAGAGACGAAAGCGUGGGGAGCAAAC